GCUUUCAUCGGCAGCACAUUACUAUAAUUGGAAUGAUACGGAGGUUAUGGAGGACCCUGCGCAAGGAUGACAUGCAAACUCGUGAACAGUCCAUAGUCCAU
RNAcentral lists this small nuclear RNA (101 nucleotides) under Mesocricetus auratus (golden hamster). Lineage: Eukaryota; Metazoa; Chordata; Mammalia; Rodentia; Cricetidae. The record is from RNAcentral.